This 201-nucleotide ribosomal RNA is filed under the name Aphyocharacidium sp. NS-2021. RNAcentral's name for it is "partial small subunit ribosomal RNA". Lineage: Eukaryota; Metazoa; Chordata; Actinopteri; Characiformes; Characidae. The record is from RNAcentral.
CCAGCCACCGCGGUUAUACGAGAGACCMUAAUUGAUAUUUACGGCGUAAAGAGUGGUUUAGGAAAAAAAGAAAUAAAGCCAAAGAUCCUCCUAGCUGUCGUACGCAUUCUGAGGACACGAAGCCCCUCCACGAAAGUAGCUUUACUAAACUUUUCCUGACCCCACGAAAGCUAAGAAACAAACUAGGAUUAGAUACCCCAC